Molecule: ribosomal RNA, 253 nt
Filed under: uncultured bacterium
Lineage: Bacteria
Description: partial 16S ribosomal RNA
Rfam family: Bacterial small subunit ribosomal RNA
Source: RNAcentral
UACGAAGGGUGCAAGCGUUGCUCGGAAUUAUUGGGCGUAAAGGGUUGGUAGGUGGUCUUGUUUGUCUAAGGUGAAAUCCCAGGGCUUAACCCUGGAGGUGCCUUAGAAACGGCAAGACUAGAGUCCUAGAGGGGUUUGUGGAAUUCCCGGUGUAGCGGUGAAAUGCGUAGAGAUCGGGAGGAACACCAGCGGCGAAGGCGGCAAACUGGAUAGGCACUGACACUCAACAACGAAAGCGUGGGGAGCAAACAGG